ACUCUGAUGCAGCGAUGCCGCGUGAGUGAAGAAGGCCUUUGGGUUGUAAAGCUCUUUCGUCGGGGAAGAAAAUGACUGUACCCGAAUAAGAAGGUCCGGCUAACUUCGUGCCAGCAGCCGCGGUAAUACGAAGGGACCUAGCGUAGUUCGGAAUUACUGGGCUUAAAGAGUUCGUAGGUGGUUGAAAAAGUUGGUGGUGAAAUCCCAGAGCUUAACUCUGGAACUGCCAUCAAAACUUUUCAGCUAGAGUUUGAUAGAGGAAAGCAGAAUUUCUAGUGUAGAGGUGAAAUUCGUAGAUAUUAGAAAGAAUACCAAUUGCGAAGGCAGCUUUCUGGAUCAUUACUGACACUGAGGAACGAAAGCAUGGGUAGCGAAGAGGAUUAGAUACCCUCGUAGUCCAUGCCGUAAACGAUGUGUGUUAGACGUUGGAAAUUUAUUUUCAGUGUCGCAGCGAAAGCGAUAAACACACCGCCUGGGGAGUACGACCGCAAGGUUAAAACUCAAAUGAAUUGACGGGGACCCGCACAAGUAGUGGAGCAUGUGGUUUAAUUCGAAGAUACGCGCAGAACCUUACCAACACUUGACAUGUUCGUCGCGACUUUAAGAGAUUAAAGUUUUCGGUUCGGCCGGACGAAACACAGGUGCUGCAUGGCUGUCGUCAGCUCGUGUCGUGAGAUGUUGGGUUAAGUCCCGCAACGAGCGCAACCCUCACUUUUAGUUGCCAUCAUUAAGUUGGGCACUCUGAAAGAACUGCCAGUGAUAAGCUGGAGGAAGGUGGGGAUGACGUCAAGUCCUCAUGGCCCUUACGUGUUGGGCUACACACGUGCUA
Molecule: ribosomal RNA, 829 nt
Filed under: marine metagenome
Description: bacterial SSU rRNA
Rfam family: Bacterial small subunit ribosomal RNA
Source: RNAcentral